AUGCUUUUUUCCCAAUUGCUACUUCUCACAGCUUCUAUUUGUUCUGGUGUACACAUACAGAGAGACUGAAAGCGAAAAAGGAGUGAUUGCUCUGCAUCUGAGUUUGAGUUUGUUUUGGUUUGGUUGGUGAAAUUUGAAGUUUAGUGAUCUUGUUGGAAAGCGGUCUGCAAGCAGAAGAGAAACAAUUAAUUCUUGGCAUUUUCAGCCAGAACAUAUCAAACUCCAGUCCUGGGGGAAGUUCAAGCAAAGGCAGAGUUAGAUAAGGAAUAGGGGUUGAAUUUGGAGCUGCAAUCAUGCUUUGACAG
Molecule: long non-coding RNA, 305 nt
Organism: Rosa rugosa (rugosa rose)
Lineage: Eukaryota; Viridiplantae; Streptophyta; Magnoliopsida; Rosales; Rosaceae
Exons: 3
Source: RefSeq, a predicted model, not a curated record